RNAcentral lists this ribosomal RNA (450 nucleotides) under uncultured bacterium. RNAcentral describes it as "bacterial SSU rRNA". It matches the Rfam family "Bacterial small subunit ribosomal RNA", at positions 355 to 796 of the family's 1533-position model. The record is from RNAcentral.
UGGGGAAUUGUUCGCAAUGGGCGCAAGCCUGACGACGCAACGCCGCGUGGAGGACGAAGAUCUUCGGGUCGUAAACUCCUUUCGAUCGGGAAGAACGGAUCUUGGCCUAACACGCCGAGAGAGUGACGGUACCGAGAGAAGAAGCCCCGGCUAACUCCGUGCCAGCAGCCGCGGUAAUACGGGGGGGGCAAGCGUUGUUCGGAAUUACUGGGCGUAAAGGGCCAGUAGGCGGCCAACUAAGUCCGACGUGAAAUCCCCAGGCUUAACCUGGGAACUGCGUCGGAUACUGGAUGGCUUGAAUUCGGGAGAGGGAUGCAGAAUUCCAGGUGUAGCGGUGAAAUGCGUAGAUAUCUGGAGGAAUACCGGUGGCGAAGGCGGCAUCCUGGACCGACAUUGACGCUGAACGGCGAAAGCUAGGGGAGCAAACGGGAUUAGAUACCCCCGUAGUCC